This 290-nucleotide ribosomal RNA is filed under the name Staphylococcus aureus. Its description in RNAcentral is "partial 16S ribosomal RNA". It matches the Rfam family "Bacterial small subunit ribosomal RNA", at positions 1245 to 1533 of the family's 1533-position model. The record is from RNAcentral. Lineage: Bacteria; Bacillati; Bacillota; Bacilli; Caryophanales; Staphylococcaceae.
GGCAGCGAAACCGCGAGGUCAAGCAAAUCCCAUAAAGUUGUUCUCAGUUCGGAUUGUAGUCUGCAACUCGACUACAUGAAGCUGGAAUCGCUAGUAAUCGUAGAUCAGCAUGCUACGGUGAAUACGUUCCCGGGUCUUGUACACACCGCCCGUCACACCACGAGAGUUUGUAACACCCGAAGCCGGUGGAGUAACCUUUUAGGAGCUAGCCGUCGAAGGUGGGACAAAUGAUUGGGGUGAAGUCGUAACAAGGUAGCCGUAUCGGAAGGUGCGGCUGGAUCACCUCCUUU